CCCUGGUUAGCUGUGUUGGUAGAGCAUUUAACUGGAAAUGGAGAGGUCCCGGGUUCGAUACCCGGACCUGGCG
Molecule: non-coding RNA, 73 nt
Organism: Ixodes scapularis (black-legged tick)
Lineage: Eukaryota; Metazoa; Arthropoda; Arachnida; Ixodida; Ixodidae
Source: Rfam